RNAcentral lists this non-coding RNA (89 nucleotides) under Pseudomonas sp. NFACC51. The record is from RNAcentral. Lineage: Bacteria; Pseudomonadati; Pseudomonadota; Gammaproteobacteria; Pseudomonadales; Pseudomonadaceae. RNAcentral also lists the same sequence under 2 other names.
UGUGGGAGCGAGCUUGCUCGCGAUAGCGAUAUAACAGUCACCUCAAUGGCGACUGUCCUGGCCUCAUCGCGAGCAAGCUCGCUCCCACA